CUGUGAUAGAUAACACUCCCAUACACUUUAAAUCUGGGUGAAGCAGAACUCGGAGAAGGAUGAUUUUAGGACAUUGUAUUUUAUUUGUACUAAUUUCAUAUUCUUAUGGACAGUCCCUGACCUCCUCUGCUUCUGUGGUGAAGAGACCUGGAGAGUCAGUCACUCUGUCCUGUACUGUCUCCGGAUUCUCAAUGAGCAGCAACUACAUGCACUGGAUCCGUCAGAAACCAGGAAAAGGACUGGAGUGGAUCGCGCGCAUUGACACUGGCUCUAGCACAACAUUCUCUCAGUCUCUGCAGGGCCAGUUCUCCAUCACUAAAGACACCAAUAAAAACAUGCUGUACCUAGAAGUGAAGAGUCUGAAAGCUGAAGACACGGCUGUUUAUUACUGUGCACGACACUCACACUGA
Pangasianodon hypophthalmus (striped catfish) is the source of this 410-nucleotide non-coding RNA. NCBI's taxonomy places the organism in Eukaryota, Metazoa, Chordata, Actinopteri, Siluriformes, Pangasiidae. The record is from the annotation of a RefSeq genome assembly.